UCAAACAAAGCUUAUUUCAGAGCAGGCUUUGUCUUCAUUUAGCUUGAUUGUUAAUUUUAGAAGAUUAUAAAAAGGUACAGAUAUAGGCUGUGCAAGAAAGGGGCUUUGUUGGCCUGCUGAAGAGUGAAAAAUAAAGCCACACUGAGUAAGAGUGGAGAGUAAAAUAAAGCCAAAACAAAACGGUGUGGGGAGGAGAUCUUUAACUCUGAGCUGCAGUCGCAUGCUAUAGUGCAAUCUUUCAUAUGAUGAUGUUUCCAGAAGCCAGUUUUUCGAAAUGGACCACCAUUGCAUUGAGGGUGUAGAAGCUGCAGAUAUGUGAUUCAGUCUGUGGGCCACCAGGCACCCAAAGUCAUGAGGAAGAAAAUCUUACCAUUGAUGGCAGCUGUCUGCUUCUGGGGCUUCACUGAUUCACCAUGCCUAACAUCAUAAACGUCCUGUCAUUUGAGUAGAUUGUAAAAAAGAUAUUGGAAAACCGAAGAAAAUGGGGAAGACAAGGAAGAGACUGGUUAAAGAGAGGACAAGUGUAAAAAGCAUCUGUCUGAAGAGGAUACUUAAGGUCUUGACAUAUAACGCAUCAGGCUGGACUUUCUCUCCACUCUGUAAAGCAUCCAAUGAACUGCUGCUGUACAAAUGGAUUUAUAAAAGUCUCAUGAGCAAGGGUUUCUUCUAAUUUGAUUAAGUUUACAAAUUGUCUGACACCUCUGCAUGAGCUGUUUCAGAAAGCUACUCUUUCUUCUGGACUCGAUAACUGUGCAGCCUGCCAGGAAUGCCCCUACUGUUCACGUCAGCCGUCCUGCCUUGCCUUGGGCAGGCAUCUUGUUGGAGUUCAAACACUAACAGGUUACAACUGAUAGCAUGUAAUCCUAACUUUGGGGACAGUAUGAUGCAAAAAUGAAUUGAAGUAUAUUUCCAUUUCCAUCUUUUUGCAACCAAUUUUACUGUUUUCUUAAGGCCAACCUUACUAUAGCUUACAAUCCUGAUUCCCCAGUUGCAAGGAAUGAAGUUUGUAAUUUGCACACUUGGAAAAAAAGGGUUACAGAAGAACAGAUGCAUGUUGUGUGCUGCAAAAUUUUUGGGUUUCCAAUUUCAUACCCCAUGGACUGUUCAUCAGAAGGCUCACAUCAUGGAAAAUGUAUCUGUGAUAUCUUUCAUGCUUGUCCUGCACUAAAAUAAAUCUAAAUGGAACUGAAAGAAAUGCUAUGCGCUUUGAAAUCUGCAUGGAGCAGUAUGCCAAACCAGCUCAAGAGACCCCAAACCCAGGGCAUGUUAUGAGAAUUAUGGAUCUGGAUAGCAUUUUCUUUCAAGUUACGAAGGCCUGUAUGGGAACUACCAUUCUGGGUAAUAAGUUUUGGGAAGACAUUCACAAAUCAAAUAACUUUCUGCAAGCUGGUCUAGUGGAAGGUGUCCCUGCCCAUGGCAAGGGAGUUAAAACUAGGAGAUCCUUACGGAUCCCUUCCAACCCAAACCAUUCUGUGGUUCUAUGAGAUACCUGUCAUUACCUAGCAAGAAGGGCAGAGGUGUUCAAUAGCUCUAGCCUUACCUGCACAUAUCGGUUCCAGUUUACCUAGAUCUUGUUUGCCCUUCAAAAUGAUGAGAGAACUGUGGCAUGAUGUAUUCCUCCCCGUAGAAAACCACCACUGUGCAUUGUGAAAUAAGCUCUUACCCACUGAUUUCUUUGUACAUGUCUUUAAAAUGAAAAUACCAGUUUUACGUAUUCUCGUAUAUUUACCAUCAUAUUUUAGGAGCCUGAUAGUUUCUCCUAACUACUUGACUGUUUUCAUUUGUAAUCAUAUUGUUCCAUAAAGUGAUGAUAGUGUUACUUGUAGUAUCUAAAUCACAAAGGAAUUAAUUGCAUUUGAAAAGAUGUUCAAGGCUUUGAGUUUUUAACAGUGAUUAUAAUUCUGCUUGUUAGCUUUGAAAAAGAGAAAAUAUGUUCUUUCACCUUUUGUUUUGGAGGGGAAAAAAAGUCAUGUUAAUACUGAUAGCUAUCAAGUAAGGUGAUGUUUUGUGUAACUAUAUAUGGUAUUUUUUCAAAGUUCUUUUGUCAGUAUCCCCAUAGAACUGCUGGGGAUGUCAGUGGGAGAGAAGCAUGCGUAUUUAUCUGCACCUGGCAGCACAAGCCCUGAUCACUUCUUGUCAUACAGCAUAUACAGGGUUUCAGUCAAUAACGUAUUUUCAUCCUUCAGCUGUCUAUGGACCACCAUAUGCGACUACAACAGCUGCAGAACACCACCUAGUGGUGCUAAGCACUCCCUCCAGCUAAUUAAAUACAUUAAACUUCCUUCGUGUCUCUCCCAUUUAGUUUAUUUCUAAAAACUGCUGCCACCACUAGGUGAAAUUCUGGCCCAGGCAGAACUAUCAGGGUCUUUGCACGCUGGACAAUUAAACAUAAUAUUGAAUAUGCCUUAAACGAUGCAGCCAUCAUGGCCCCCCCUUCAUCAGCAGAAAAACAGGUAUGUGCUUGGCAAAUUUAGGUUUGGGGUUAUGAGGAUAUAUGGUUUUGGGGUAUGAUUCUAUGUAUUGUGGAAAAUCUUGGCCAACACCUUUUUCCUAUGAUAGCCUGAAGACAUUGUUUUAAAUUAAAUUCCUUACUGCAUUUAGCUUUCUGGGUGAAACAGAUAUGCAAGUAUGCCUAGAAAAAAAUGGAUUUUAAUAUGAAUGUAUAAUAAUUUGGUUCUCUGUAUUUUACAGCUUCUCUCUUUGGUCUCCUGAGAGAUUUAAAAUCGAAGCUGAUAAAUUUCAAAUGACAGUCUGUCUCUUAUAUUUGUCAUUUUCCAAGACAUUCUUGGUGUGCUUACACAAUAAUGGACCUCUAAUACCAUUUCAAGCUGAUCCAACAAACCUUCAAGAUUUUGCACAUCAUACCUAAAAAA
Cygnus olor (mute swan) is the source of this 2873-nucleotide long non-coding RNA. RefSeq lists it as uncharacterized. NCBI's taxonomy places the organism in Eukaryota, Metazoa, Chordata, Aves, Anseriformes, Anatidae. The record is from RefSeq and is a predicted model, not a curated record. The transcript has 11 exons.